AUAAAGUUUAUUUUGUUAAAAAAAUUCUGUUCUUAUCAGUUUAAUAUCUGGUACCUUCCCCACCGGGGACUGCGUGUUGAACGGGUUUUUGGAACCGGGAGCUGGACCCGGGAGCUGGACCCAGGGCUCGCUCUGUCUGCUCCCAGCAUCAACCCAGUACUGCAGUGCUUCUGGGAAUGGUGCACCUCCC
Pristis pectinata (smalltooth sawfish) is the source of this 190-nucleotide small nuclear RNA. RefSeq annotates it as U2 spliceosomal RNA. The transcript has a single exon. Lineage: Eukaryota; Metazoa; Chordata; Chondrichthyes; Rhinopristiformes; Pristidae. The record is from RefSeq and is a predicted model, not a curated record.